CGCUCCUCGAGUGCGUGGUGGGCUGGAGACGCUGCUUCCCUUGAAGUCUAAUUUUAGCUGAAGGCGACGGGAUCCCUCCAGGGCAUGGCAGAGAUUUCCUAUCAGCUGCCUAGACCUUAAGAAACAACACACACAAACAAAAACAACACUGAGAAGCACUUGGGGUUUAUUUGGGUGAAUUCUUUCAAAAAAUGGGUGUGACUUAUUUUUCUUUACGAGCAUUCCCUGUGCACGCUGGCUUUGUUCUGCUGCAGUCGGGUAUUUCAGGUCUUCCAAGAUUUAAUCAGAAUAAUUAGUUACUGUCUGUUUGUACCUUCUGUUUCUGUUGCAGGGUUACCAAAGGGCGUAUUUAUCUUCCAGAGGGCUUCCUAAGUGUCACUUAAUCAUUAAAGCAUCCGAUUUCCUCCAAGUUAUCUGUCAUGAGGCUUAUGUGGUGGAGUUGUGCAGCUGUCCUGGAAAAUCGAGUCCUGGUGGCUGGGGCUGUGCAGAUCCAUCCUGGUCAAAGCAGGGCUUUUGUCAUAAGCUACAUUGUGUUGUGGCUACAUAAAAUAAGUAUGGCCAAGCCUUCCAGUUAAUCUCACUUGCUGUGCUUGCCUGAGUUUUUUGUUUUUUCUUUUGUUUACAUGCAAACAGUAUUUCAGUGAAAUGUGAUAAAAGUUGCUGUUUUUUCCCAGGCUGGGUGAGAGCUAUUUGGGAUCAUGUGGUAUUUGAUGUGAGCUCAUAUACAUUUUUUUUUUUGUGUUCAUCUGCUGGAACACAGGGAGGUAUUAAUGUCAUACUGGAAGGAAAAGCAGCCAGAGGGCCUUUUCUGCCAUUAGACAUGUUUAUCAAGGAAUUCUCAACCCCAACUUUGUACUUUAGGGGGAGAAAUCACUGUGGAUUAACAUCAGAAUUUAAAAACCUUUAAAAGGAAAUCAGCAUCGCAGAUGGGUAGGCCAGCUGAGGGAUCUGACAAGUGUGUUUUGUUUGCUCUGGGCACCUUCUGUACUACGAGUUUAAUGAUAUCUUGAAGUUUAAUGAUAUUUAGCCAUCAGGGUCCCCGCUGGGAAGGACUCCUGUUUACAGCAGCCUUCAUCCAGUUUCCAUUUUAAGAGAGAAAGAAACCAGCUUGCUCCACACCACGAAAUGCCUGAACACCUGUGGUUCCAGUAGCCUCAUCUUAAGCAUGGAUAGUGCUAAAAAACUCCAAACACCACCCAAAAAAAGCCCUCUGGGACUCAGCCAGUAGCUCCUUGUUGC
RNAcentral lists this long non-coding RNA (1239 nucleotides) under Cyanistes caeruleus (blue tit). RNAcentral describes it as "lncRNA (ENSCCEG00000010982.1)". The record is from RNAcentral. Lineage: Eukaryota; Metazoa; Chordata; Aves; Passeriformes; Paridae.